Pezoporus occidentalis (night parrot) is the source of this 9843-nucleotide long non-coding RNA. RefSeq lists it as uncharacterized. The record is from RefSeq and is a predicted model, not a curated record. NCBI's taxonomy places the organism in Eukaryota, Metazoa, Chordata, Aves, Psittaciformes, Psittacidae. The transcript is spliced from 2 exons.
UCCGCCGCGGGCAGCGCGCCGGGAGCUGCCAGCCUUCCGCUGCGGGGAGGGGUGGCUGGACGAGAGCUGUGGAGACAGGGACGCCUGACGGGCUGGUGUAACUUUGCGCUUCAUCUUGGUUUUCUGCUUUGAGGUGCCACGGGACUGUUGUUAGCGCACACAGUGUGUGGAAGUAUCUUCCCUCUUUGUUUUGUUUUGUUGUUUUUUUUUUUUUUGGACUUGACAAGUAAGUAUUCAGUAGAGUAAUUCUCUACACUUGGGGUUUAUUUCAGUCUUUGUUAGCUAAUUUACAGGUUAAGCCGCGUUGCUCAACAGGUUUGAUUUUUUGCACAACUAAUCCCUUUGGAAUGGAGCAAAAUAUUAAUUUAGGACCUUUUUAGACUGCUGCGAGUGAAAAUCGGCAGCUAACGGGAUUUUGAGUCAUUCCUUUCCUCGUUUAUCCCGUUAGUUUGCUUCUCGAAGAGUGACUGCUGAGCACUUUUAAAACUGUGUAUCUUUACCUCAUUACUUAAAGUAAGUGUCCUUUGAGCCAUGUUUCUACAUAAUAUUGUAAAGCUUAAAUUGAUUUAGAAAUGAGAUCGGGUAAGUUGGUGAUGGAGGUUUUGGCUUGCUUAUUGAAACAAGGAUUUCUUGAAAUGUACUCGGUGCCAUUGCUCGUGAUUUGCUACAUUUGAAUAGCACUCCAGCAGCGGUUGCUUUGGGGAAGCUGUAGUGCAGCAGGAAGUGCUGCUGCUGAAGGCUACGGGCCUAAAAGUUGACAAUAUGCACAAACCUUCUAACGUGAUUACUUACAGCAAACACAAUAUGCCGUGACAGACAAAGUUACUCUGUGUAACUUCCAUAAGAAGAUGGAAGUAAGUAUUAGAUUUUUUUUUUUUUCCUCCUGACAGAUCAGAUUGAUGGAAUUUUAAUACUGCAAUACACCUUCCUCUGUUAGAAAUACCCCUCCCUACGCACUUUCCCAAAAAAUGAAUUCUGUCCUGAAUUGGUACACGUAGUACCAACAUGAUAGUACAGAACCCAUGUAAAAAAGUUUUCAAAAGGGAGAAUGUGCAGUUUCUCCGGGGAUUAUAUUCUUACAUUUAGUCCUUUUCAUAUGUUAAUGAUAUCAAUUGGACCACAAUCAAGUAUAUAUGCAAAUGUUUCUAAGACUCAAAUGUAUCUUGUUAGUAUUUAUAUACUUUAUUUGUUGAUUCCUUUGAACUUGGCUAUAAGUAAAUACAUUCCUGAAACAAUUAGAUAGUGUAGUCUUCAUUAAAACAUCUUAUUUGAGCAUAUAUGUCUGUAGCAGUGGACACUAGAAAGUGCCCUUAAUACCUCAAAUGGAAUCAUUUGUGGCUUUAGUGCUUUCUGAAUCAGAAGUGGUGUCUUAUUUUUGACAGUUCUCAGUAGAUUUUUAUUCCACAAAUUUGCCAGAUCAUACACUUUUUAAGUCCCCAUAGGCUUUUGGCAUUUGCAGGAAGAGGUCCUUGCUUAAUGAGGUUUGGCUAUGCAUUGUUGAAAUGUGGGGUGGUUUUGUGGUGGUGUUUUUUUCUGGGAGAGGGGGCUUUUUUGUGGGUUUUCUUGGGGGGAAAGUUAUUGGUUUUGUUUGUUUUGUAAGUUUCCUAUCUGUCUUUGUUCAUUUUCCUAGAAGCAAUGAACAGUUGCUCUCUACUCACCUUUGCUCUUCAGUUCAUGAUUUUCUGUAUUUCCUCAGUCUUGUAUUUCCCGAGCUGGAGAGCUUUAGUCUAUGCUUUGGGAGAUGAGGAGAUCAGGAGUUACAUACAGUAUUCAAGACAUAACAGCAGUCAAAAUAAUGUUUUUUAUGUUAUUACCCAGCUCUUUCUUUGUAAUUCCUGUAAUUUAUUUGUUUUGUUUGGUAAGGAAGUGAGAAAGUGGGUGAACUGAGCAUUGUUCAAUGUUGGCCUGUUCAAUGUUGAACAGAUGUGGAACCUUGUCUUCAUAGCAUUAACUAUGUAGAUUCCAGGAUCUGUUUUCUGUCUGUUAACAUCUACAUCUCUUAGAUAAUUUUAAAGGUGAGGUGGCAGGAUUCUUUUUUUUUUCUGUGUUUACAUUAUGAUUAUCUACAUUAAAUUUCACCUGCUUAUGCACUCCGGAUUGUGAAGUUAUAUGCAGAUUCCCUCAGCCACUUAGCUUCAACAGCAUACUUCACCACCAUACUGUUUUCAGAUCGUUUAUCGUGAUUCAAAUAGCUUUUAUUUCAGAGGUAUGCCUCUGCAAAAACACCCUGAGGGAGUAUAUACACAAUUCAUUAAAAAAUAGCUGUUCUCUAGUAUUAUCUUUGUUGACUAAUAGUACUCUUCCUGGCAUAUUCCAGGCCCAUGUCCUGAGUAGUUUACAAUCUGAUUGUGAAUGGUUUCAGUAUAAAGAAAAGUUGGUUUGAGUAGUUUGGAAUCAUAGAAUGGUUAGGGUUGGAAGGACUUUAAAGGUCAUCCAGUUCUAAGCCCCCUGCCAUGGGCAGGGAACCACACACUAGACCAGAUUGCCCAAAGCCCCAUCAAACCUGGCCUCGAACGCUACCAGGGAUGGAGCAUUCACAACUUCCUUGGGCAGCCUGUUCCAGUACUUCACCACCCUCACAGUAAAGAACUUCUUCCUUAUAUCUAACCUAAAUCUCCCCUGUUUAAGUUUUAAACCACUGCCCCUUGUCCUAUCACUCUGUCGCUAAUGAAAAGUCCCUCUCCAACAUCCUUGUUCGCCCCCUUCAGGUACUGGAAGACUGCUAUGAGGUGUCCAUGCAGCCUUCUUUUCUCCAGGCUGAACAGCCCCAACUGUCUCAGCCUGUCUUUAAAAGAGUAUUAAUUAAAUUUCUCCUAGUGACAGAAUAAUUUUUAGAAUAAAACAAUACCUUUUCAUGUACUAUUCUUGAAGCACAUACAGAAAAAUAUAAAGUGUUGCACUUAAAUUGGAAUGAAAAAAUAAAUUUCAGGGUGAUGUGAUUUUUUUGUCAUCUUAUAAUUUCACUAACAAAGAAGAUGGGUAGUUUUGUGAUUUGGGAUGAUUCUUAAAGUACCAUAUGACAGAAUACCUGAACCUGUGUAACAGUUGCUAUUGAUGCCAUGGCCUUGAAGUACAAACAAAUGUCUUCAGUUGCUAUUUGAUAAGUUUAGAAAUGUUAUAGCCCAAUUUUUAUUCAAAAAUACUGAGUUACUGUUGUCAUUGUUCUCUGUUCAAAAACAGAAUAACUAGAAAGAACAGAGAACACAACCAUGACUCUCUUAAUUCAAGGCUGCAAUCUGGGCAUCUUCUUUGUCCAGUUUCUCUCCUUAACCUACACAUCCAGAACAUGUCUAGAUCUUACCACAUCCACUUGAAUAUUUCUAAGUUUUAAGCAUUCCCUUCUGUUUGCACUGGACUUUUUUCUUUCUUUUUUCUUUUUUUUUUUUUUAAUGCUCUGGCUCUUUUGUGCCCUGUAAUCUCGGAAUUCAUGGGGACCACCCCUGUUCCAAAUUGCCAUGGUUUUCACCUCAAAGUACCUUUGCUGUCUCCUGUUCUUCAGACACAUCAAAUGCAAACAUUUGUUUAUUCCUUCCUAAUUUAGUCCUGCAAUUCUGAUCACUUUUGAACCAUGUGAACAACUUUUGCAACUCUUUAAUAACUUUGGACACAGUUGUCCAUCCCUUCACUUCAGAAAACUGUUUUGAGCUUUCCCUUGUAUCAGCACAGUAAGGUUUAUCAAAUUCUAGGAAGUCCUCUUCAAAGUUUCUCUUCAAGCCUUCCAUGUAUUCAGAAAAGUAAUAAUAAUUAGAUCUAAUGAUUAUCGUAUGUAAUUGUGCCCUGACUGUAAUACUUGCCCUUUUUACAUGGUGUCUAACUUGGAAACUUUCACAGGGUAGUAUUUCAGAAAGCUAUGAAACACAUCAGUCCUCUUUAGGUUCUCCUUUUUGUGUAUUUUUGUGACAGAAUUGUCUCAGAUAUGGUUGACAGCUUUCUCAAGCACUGAACUUUAUCUUGGCCAAAAUGCAACUGUCCUAUUUGAGAUUCAUUUUUAAUAAUGGGCUUAGACGUAAUCAACUUCUUUAAACAAAGUAUCCUUUGAAACUGAAAACAAAAGAAAUUUCAAGUAGCUACAUGGUUUAAAUAGCUUGGCUUUCUAAUCAUAAUCUGGGAUUAUUUGUGUAGAAAUUCUUGUGCAUGACUGAAGAAUGGGUAAAUUGAUGCCUUGUUCUGGGAACAAUAUUCUACUACCUGAUUACUGGUGUAGUAUAAAGCAUAUGGGGAAAAAAAAUACAAACCCACCACUCAAGAAAAACACCAAAAAAGAAAACCAAAAUAAAAAAACCCAAAGGUGGGAUCAGAGAACAUAUUGUACCUUGGAGUUUUACCUCUGAGUUAACAAGUUACUGCAUUUGCUGCUUUCCUUUAAUUCAUAUCCCUAAGAAAGUUGAUGCCCAAAUACCAUGUUUUUAAUUAUUUUUCCUUUGAAUAUUAGAGUUUCAGCAAUUAUUUUGUCAAUUAAUAUAAAAACAGUUAAAGUGCAGGCAGUAACUGUCUGUGUGUACAACUUUGUUAUCAGUUUUACAUUAGACGCUUGUAUAAAUAAAGAAGUGACAUUACUACAGCUACAAUCAGCAAAAGAACCCUCAACAAACAAAGGAAAUAUUACGCCUCCAGAAAACCCAUAUAAGUAUGGUUCACUUAUGGAAAUCAAGUCUUAACCAAACUGGAAUUAACACUUGAGGAACACCAGCAUUACAUGCUAUCUUUAUGAGUUUGCAUUGCGGCAAGCACUGCUGCUGCUCUGUUUGGUAAACUGCAGAAGUUAAGUGCUGCAGCUAGCAGCUGGAGCUGCAUGGAUGCUCUCAUAUUUAUCUGUGGUUAAUAUAUUUAAGGCAGGCUAUGAUAUCAACUGCCAAGAUGUGCAAAUGUCUUCAGCCCUGAAAUCCUAGAGAGAUCUGUGGUGGUCCAUAGGCAAGCAGGCAUAACGGAUACAAGUGACUGAAGGGUACCAAGAUGCAGUUACUAAAGAAAUUUUAAAAAUGCAGGUAAAAGAGGCUUUUUGUGCAAGUGUAUUCACUAUGCAUGGUGUCAGUAUACUUGCAAUAAGGUGCUGUUAAUGUAUUUGACAUGUCUAAGGGUGGGAGGAGAGAGAUCCAGCUGUAUCCACAUUAAGCAAAGCCUCUAAUUUCAAAGGUAAGUCAUGACAUUUUCAAUUUCCUCAUGUAGCAGCAAAGACCAAGUUACUACAAAUUAUAUCUUUUAGUUUAAUUUGUCAAAAAUGGGCACAUGGCAAAAAAAAAAUGGAAAGGAGUAGCGGAAAAAAGUUGUUCCUUGUAUGAUAAGAUGUCUCUAGUGGACAUAGUGCUUAUCAGGUUAAAAAGUAUUAGAAAGAUGGAGCUGCUACAAAUGCCAUUGUUAGAUGAGAUUUCUUAUUUCUGGUGAAGACAAAUAUGGGUGCCAUGAUCCAAGCUGUAGAUCAUCAGCAACAAAUUUUGAGGAGCAGUCUGUAAGUAGCAGAAAGAUUGCAUCAGCCUAGUUAAACACUAACUGUUCAGAAUCUAGAAGGAUAAAAAUCUUUAACUGAUCUCUCAAGUUUUUUCUAAUGCUCAUAUAUUUGUAUUUAUGAAGAGAAGCAGUAGUAUGCUGACUUCUGGUACUGUACCCAGAUGCUUCUACUACUGUAUUUUUUUAAAGCUAAGCUAUCACUCUCCUCAUCUGAACAAACUUGUCUUCUGAAAUGGACCAACAUGUGCAUCUCCAGAUACGCAUGUAAUGAUGUACACCUCUUCAGCUGAAAUGUAUUUUCAUCAUACCCUAGCUCUCACUUUAAUGGUGAAAUUGUCAAUAGACAAUGAUUUCUAAUGUUUUACAAACAGGAUGCAUGUGUGCUGUGUGUUUUCAAUAGUCAGGCCACGUAUAGUCUACAUAUUCCAUGAAAUAACACUAAUAGUCUAACACUUCAUAUUAGCUUUGUGGAAAGUUUUAAUGGAAUUGUGUAACUUUUAAAAACAUAAUUUUUAUGCAAUCUAUCAUUAAAAAAAAAUUUGUGAAAUUAUUCAGAAAUUACACAUUGAAAUAAAUGAGGAUGUCUUUGGCUCAACUUUUUUCCCCAAGGUACCAUGAAUUUGUCUGCUAAUUUCCCAAUAAAAAUAAAGAUAAUGAGCUAUCAAGUUCAACAAACAGCUGUCAAAAUUCUGGCUUUAAGAUAUUAGAGAACUGUGUAAUUAUACAUGGCACUGACUUUUUUACAUGAGCUUAUUUGGAGAAUAGUGGUUUAUUUGAGUACAGUUUGUCAUCCUAUGGUAUAAGCAAAACUGAUUAAUAAUGAAUUAAUAAUAAAAGAGUAAAUAGGUGACUUUCUUCAUAUGUGGCAUUUCUCUACAAAAAGUUUAGUUUAUGCUGAAUCAUGUUUUAUUAUAAAAUCUACACCUUCAGUUAAAUAGCAUUAAACUUAAGAAUACAUACUAAUAUUUCAGUGGCAAUUCAGUCCUUAACUUGCUAAUUGAAAUUUCUGUUUUGAAUUGAAAUAGAAGCAUUUUAUGGACUCUGUUCAUUAUUAGUGCUAAAGAUUAGAUCUAAUAGGGAGCUGGUUUGGUUUUUCAGAGAAGUCUGACUUAACACAUAAGCAUCAGAUGCAUAAAUAUAUCCUGAAAAAGAUCAGAAUCAGUCUGAGUCAGGUCAUUUAUUGCGAAGGAAGGAAAAAAAAAAGGUGAGCUGAAUCAUUCAAUCAGCUUCUCUCAUUUCCACGUCUUUCAGAUACCCAUUUUAUUGACCCUAAAUCAUUAAGAGAAGUCAUUGUUAAUUAAUAUUCAUUUAAAUUCUGUUGAAUUGCUAAAAUUACAUUAUAUUGUCAGCAGGCAUGAAACAACCCAGUAAAGAAAUUGUGCUGAGUUAGACCUCUUCAAGAUCUGGCCUGUGGUGUUUCAUCACAUGCUGGAGUAUCAUCUCAACUAUUCUGUUUGCCUGUAUUAUUUCAUUCCAUUAUGUGUAUGAAACCCCUAUGGGUUUAAUGCAUCCCAAAGUUCUUCAAACUUAAUGCAUUCUUAUGGUAAGCAUUGUAAAAGCCUGGACCUAGAAGAAAAUGAUAUUACAUAUUCAUUAUUUGUCUUGUUCAUAAUCAAACUGAAACCUUUGACUUGAAGUAUCAGGCUGCAGAUGUCUGAAUAAUAGUGCCAUGAUAGCAAAUAUGUGGUAAUAUGUACAAUAUCUUACCUCUUGAAUUAAAAAAUAAUAUUACCUGGAAUAUUAAGAAUUCAAAGAUUAUCAUAAAGUAUUAUAUACCAUUAUGUUCACCUCUGAAAUGUUUGGAAAUUAAUUUCAUUUUAGCAUGCAAGAUCGUGAUGGUGUAAUGAGAAAGUCUAUGAAGGCAAAUCUCCAGAACAAAACAGCUAAUAUGUGUCCAGCAUACUGGGGUACAAAGUAAUGGUGUAGAUACAAUCGGCCAUGUGGACCUGUUGGAUCUUUCUUGCAAUGAAAGAGUAAUAGUUGGCCUGCAAGAACGAAAGCAACACAUUUAGAAGGGUUCUUUCAUUGCUUUGGAGUUUUUGUGUUUGAAUUAACAACAGCCUGAGAGGAAAGGACCUUGAAAGAGAGCAAACUGGACAUAGCAGUAGGUUUUACCAGAGCUGAUUCAUGAAAUGCAGUUUAUGCUAUGAUAUAUUUGCACUUAUGCUCAAUUAGUGACAAUUAGUUAGGAAUGACUAAUUAAUCUAACAAACACUGUAUUAGUGAAGAACUACAUUUAAAUUUACGUUGUUAACUGAUUUCUUAUUUAUCAUGUACUUGCAGGAUCAUUUAUACCAUUCUGUAAUGAUUCCUGUUGUUAUUCUUUAAAUUAUGUAGGAGUUUAUGGAAUAAUGGGAAAAAAAUCUUGAGAUUUUUUUGAGACCUGAAAAUCUAUAUAGUUCAACCUUGAUGGAAUUAUAAUUAUAGAAAAAAAUGUUAUAUAAAUUGCGAAUUCCAUGAAAUACAUGUAUCUUAUUUUAUUACAACUAUUAGCAUAACAUUGACCAUGAAGUAAGUUAGAGGGUUUUAUUUAUUUAGUGUUUGAAUAUUUUUCUUUUCAAGAAGACUAGAUAUUGCAUAAUAAAUUUCACUGAUACAGUGUUCACAAGUGCUGAUCUACAACAAACUGCAGUACUAUGUUUACUUGAUGACUUAUAUUGCUAUAUUUGAAAUGUCAUCUUUACUAGAAUUAGAAUGUUCAUUAAAUGUGAAUAUUUUGCCAGUAUAUUGCUAGAGAAAAAAGCAUAGUGCACAAACAGUACAAUUAGUAAAUAAAGUGAAUAUGUACCUGUAUUACUGCUUAUUAUUGUUUACUCACUUGUGAAUUUGUAAAAUUUGCUACUUUGUAAUCAGAUUCUCUCUGACUGCUGCUAAUUACAGAGACUAAAAUGCAUAAUAGUUGCUACUUAGUACUAAUGUGGGCUUCAUAAUGGUUUUAAAGUUUGUGAUUCCUGGCUACUUUGAGUUUUAGUACCUAAUUAUUGUAAGGCUUAUUGCAAUGUUGUAGUUUUAUAAAUAUAUAAGUCUUCUAGAUGCAUACAACCUUUGGGAUCUAAAACACUACAUACCAGUUUCAUUAUCAGCAAUGUAAAAAUUACAAAAAAAAGCUAUGUAUCAGGGGGUUAGCCAAAUACAAAUAAAACUGAGUGACGUACUUUAACUGAAGUUGUUUGUAUCAUAUAAUUAAAUUGCUAAUUCUAGGGCACUUUUGUAGAAGUGAAUAUCAGAUGUCUAGUAUUAUUAAAAGUUGGGUUUAAAUAAGAUUUUAUGUUCUUCAGUUUUGGCCUUGAUUACUUACUGAGAAGUUACAUAAAUUAGUUAAAAUAUUAUGUACUUGGCAUGUUUGAUUUCUUUAGCAAUGAAAUUGAGGAAUCUAUUCUUUACAAGUAAAUCUAGUUCUGCUUUUAUUUAUUAACAUGUCCCCUUCCCAGGAUUGAUGCAUUCUUCAUUCAAGUUCUGAAAGGGGCUGAGGGAAGAAGGAAAACAACAUUUUUUUAAGAAAAUGUUUAGUUAAACUUUCAAUGCUUUCUGAUACACUAGGGGAAAAGAAAAAGAUAACCAUCUUCCGGACUAAUUUUAUAUACUUCCAAGUGUAGGAAGUGUACAUAGGGUGGUUGUGGUGUUAGUUGAAAUGCUGGCAGGUAUUCUGUUUAAUUAGCUCCCUAGCCAGGUCUCUUACAUAAAUAGGUCUGUACCAAACCUAAUAGUGCCAUUAACAUAUUUCUGAAUGGAGAAAUGUCGAAUUUCUGUAAAACAUAUUAAUCUGGCAUGUAAAUUAAUAUGACUAAGGAAUUUUCAGGUUUUGAGUGGAGAGGCCCAAUUUCAUACACUGCCCAGCAAAAUAAAAGAGCCGUAGACAGGGUAGUCAGGAAUGCUGCUUUAGUAUGUAGGUUUUUUUAUUAUGAGGCUUUAGGCAAUAAUGAUCUAUAACCAGGAUCAUGCUUCUGAGAGGCCUAGCUAAAAGCCUUUGCUUUUAUAGCUGAUACAGGAAUAUAUUGACUUGGGACAUAAAUGAAAUUACUGUAUUAUUUUACUAUACGUAAGGUAACAAGAUUCCAGUUGCUAGAGCAGUAUGAACAAAUGCAUUUCUGUUUCUGUUAAUCUGAAAUAUAUAUAAACUAUAUUUAUAACUGGACAUGACAUUUUAGAAGAUGUUUGUGAAGUCAGUCCGUGCCUUCCCAGUUAACUUUGAAGGUUAGUCUUAAAUGACAAAAUGACUUGCGAAAAUUUAACUUACAUGAACCUUAACCAAUAGAAUCAGGUACUUUCCAUGUAUUUUAAAUUAUUUAGUCACUGAUCAUUGUUCACAAAUGCAAAUGUAAAUUUUUUAGGGUGCAAACGGUAUGUUCCAAGAGUUGAAAGCCAUUUCUUCUGAUAAUAAAUGUGAUCUCUUUUUCA